UGAAUUAGACUAUUCUGGGUGUCUCCUAUAAUUGGCCUCACACAAUAUUUGCCCUUUUGUGUCUGGCUAAUUUCAGUUAGCAUAAUGUUUCCAAGGUUAAUUCAUGUCAUAAGCAUGUAUUGGUACUUCAUUCUUUUUCAUCAGUGAAUGAUAUUUUAUUGUAUGGAUAUUUCACAUUUUGUAUAUGUAUCAAUUGAUGGACAUUUGGGUUAUUUCUACUUUUUGGCUAUUAUGAAUAGUGCUUCUAUGAACAUUCAUGUACAAGUUUUUGUGUGUACAUAUGUUUUCCACAUAUUUCUCUUGGAUAGAUGCCUAGGAGUAGAGUUGCUGGGUCAUAUAGGAAGCCUAUGUUUAACAUUUUGAGGAACUGAAAACCCAUUUUCUAAAGUGCUUGCAACAUUGUACAGUCCCACUAGCAAUGUCUGAGGGUUUCAAUUUCUCCACAUCUUCAACAACAUCUGUUAUUAUCGAUCUUUUUCAUUACAGCGAUUCCAGGAUGUAUUAGCUUGAGCUGCAGUAACAAAAUACCAUAGAUUGGCUGGGCAUGGUGGUUUACACCAGUAAUCCCAGCACUUUGGGAGACCGAAGUGGGUGGAUCACCUGAGGUCAGGAGUUCAAGACCAGCCUGGCUAACCUGGAGAAACCCUGUCUCUACUAAAAAUACAAAAAAAAUUAGCCAGGUGUGGUGGCACACACCUGUAAUCCCAGCCACUCAGGAGGCUGAGGCAGGAGGAUUGGUUGAACCCGGGAGACGAGACGGAGGUUGCAGUGAGCUAAGAUCACACCACUGAACUCCAGCCUGGGUGACACAGCAAGACUCCACCUUAAAAAAACCAAAACGAAACAAAAAAACAAAAACAAAAAAACACCAUAGACUGGGUGGCUUAGACAGGAAUUUCUCACUUCACUGUUCUGGAGGUUAGGACGUCCAAGAUCAAGGUGCCAGACGGUUUGACUCCAGAUGAGGGCUCUCUUCUUGCAGGACCCUAUCCUUAUGACCUCAUUUACCCUAAUUACUUUCAUAAAGGCUCUAUCUCCAAAUACUAUCUCAUUGGGGGUUCAACACAUGAAUUUUAUGGGGCCACAAUAUGUAGACCAUAACAUAGAAAGCCAUUCAUAUAUCUUCUUAGGAGAAGUGUCUAUUCAAAUCAUUUAUGGGCCAGGCACGGUGGCUCAUGCCUGUAAUCCCAGCACUUUGGGAGGCCAGGGCGGGCAGAUCAUCUGAGGUUGGGAGUUCGAGACCAGCCUGACCAAUAUGAAGAAACCCAGGCAUGGUGGCACAUGCCUGUAAUCCCAGCUACUAGGGAGGCUGAGGCAGGAGAAUUGCUUGAACCUGGGAGGCAGAGGUUGCAGUGAGCCAAGAUCACACCACUGCAUUCCAGCCUGGGCAACAAGAGCGAAACUCCAUCUCAAAAAAAAAAAAAA
This 1425-nucleotide long non-coding RNA is filed under the name Macaca fascicularis (crab-eating macaque). RNAcentral describes it as "lncRNA (ENSMFAG00000063232.1)". Lineage: Eukaryota; Metazoa; Chordata; Mammalia; Primates; Cercopithecidae. The record is from RNAcentral.